This 82-nucleotide transfer RNA is filed under the name Echinostoma caproni. It matches the Rfam family "tRNA". Rfam says of the family: Transfer RNA (tRNA) molecules are approximately 80 nucleotides in length. Their secondary structure includes four short double-helical elements and three loops (D, anti-codon, and T loops). The record is from Rfam by way of RNAcentral. Lineage: Eukaryota; Metazoa; Platyhelminthes; Trematoda; Plagiorchiida; Echinostomatidae.
GGCCUCAUAGCACAGCUGGUGGAGCGUGAGCAUAUAAAGCGUAGGCCGCGUUCAUUCGUGGGUUCGAAUCCCACUGAGGCUA